Long non-coding RNA from Pan paniscus (pygmy chimpanzee), 526 nucleotides. The record is from Ensembl. NCBI's taxonomy places the organism in Eukaryota, Metazoa, Chordata, Mammalia, Primates, Hominidae.
UUCAGCUCUGGAGCCCUUGAAAUUGAGCUGCACCCCACAACUCUGUCUGUGCUGGGGCCAUCUUGGUGAACUGGCAGUUGUUCCCAGGCUCCCAGCUCUUUCCUGCCCAUCAUGCACCAUUUAGAAUCUGAUCUUUGGGCACCACCUUCUUAGCUAUCCCAUCCUCUGCCCCACGAGGAGGGGUCUCCCUUCCUCAGUCAGAUGUUUUGGCUUCUGUGAUGCAGAAUCAUGAGAACGGAGAGAAGACGAUUAAAGUCUGGACUCACCAGCAAGCCAGAGUUUCAAGGGACCCUGCUGGAGAUCACAGAGUCAAGGGCAGCUGUGACACCUGGCCCGACGCCUUUGCAGCUGCCAUCUCUGCGUCUUCUCAAAGGGUCAGCCACAGGCCCCAGAGGAAAGAAGAUGAACCCACGAGAGGGCCCCAGAACUCAGCACACAUCUACUGCAAGAUGAGAGCUGCGGGCAGGAACGCGGAGGCAUCAGAGCCAGGAUGCAUUUAAUAAGCAGUGUGACAAGGAAUAAAAUA